CACGGGGGGAGCAAGCGUUGUUCGGAAUCACUGGGCGUAAAGGGAGUCUAGGCGGUCAGGUAAGUAAGGCGUGAAAUACCUCGGCUCACCCGAGGAGCGGCGUCUUAUACUGCUUGGCUUGAGUAUGGGAGAGGAUGUGGGAAUUCCUGGUGUAGCGGUGAAAUGCGUAGAUAUCAGGAGGAACACCGGUGGCGAAGGCGCACAUCUGGCCCAAUACUGACGCUGAAGCUCGAAAGCUAGGGGAGCAAACGGG
RNAcentral lists this ribosomal RNA (253 nucleotides) under uncultured bacterium. RNAcentral's name for it is "partial 16S ribosomal RNA". It matches the Rfam family "Bacterial small subunit ribosomal RNA", at positions 524 to 776 of the family's 1533-position model. The record is from RNAcentral.